This 492-nucleotide ribosomal RNA is filed under the name uncultured bacterium. RNAcentral's name for it is "partial 16S ribosomal RNA". It matches the Rfam family "Bacterial small subunit ribosomal RNA", at positions 29 to 507 of the family's 1533-position model. The record is from RNAcentral.
AGUGAACGCUGGCGGUAGGCCUAACACAUGCAAGUCGAACGGCAGCACAGUAAGAUCUUUCUAUUACGGGUGGCGAGUGGCGGACGGGUGAGGAAUACAUCUGAAUCUAUUAUUUCGUGGGGGAUAACGUAGGGAAACUUACACUAAUACCGCAUACCACCUACGGGUGAAAGCAGGGGAUCUUCGGACCUUGCGCGAUUGAAUGCGCCGAUGUCGGAUUAGCUAGUUGGCGGGGUAAAGGCCCACCAAGGCGACGAUCCGUAGCUGGUCUGAGAGGAUGAUCGGCCACACUGGAACUGAGACACGCUCCAGACUCCUACGGGAGGCCGCAGUUGGGAAUAUUGGACAAUGGGCGCAAGCCUGAUCCAUCCAUACCGCGUUGGUGAAGAAGGCCUUCGUGUUGUAAAGCCCUUUUGUUGGGAAAGAAAAGCAGCAGGUUAAUACCCCGCUGUUCUGACGGUACCCAAAGAAUAAGCACCGGCUAACUUCGUG